GAGUAAUACAUCGGAACGUGUCCUGUAGUGGGGGAUAGCCCGGCGAAAGCCGGAUUAAUACCGCAUACGCUCUACGGAGGAAAGGGGGGGAUCUCAGGACCUCUCGCUACAGGGGCGGCCGAUGGCAGAUUAGCUAGUUGGUGGGGUAAAGGCCUACCAAGGCGACGAUCUGUAGCUGGUCUGAGAGGACGACCAGCCACACUGGGACUGAGACACGGCCCAGACUCCUACGGGAGGCAGCAGUGGGGAAUUUUGGACAAUGGGCGCAAGCCUGAUCCAGCAAUGCCGCGUGUGUGAAGAAGGCCUUCGGGUUGUAAAGCACUUUUGUCCGGAAAGAAAUCCUUUGAGCUAAUACCUCGGGGGGAUGACGGUACCGGAAGAAUAAGCACCGGCUAACUACGUGCCAGCAGCCGCGGUAAUACGUAGGGUGCAAGCGUUAAUCGGAAUUACUGGGCGUAAAGCGUGCGCAGGCGGUUCGCUAAGACAGAUGUGAAAUCCCCGGGCUUAACCUGGGAACUGCAUUUGUGACUGGCGGGCUAGAGUAUGGCAGAGGGGGGUAGAAUUCCACGUGUAGCAGUGAAAUGCGUAGAGAUGUGGAGGAAUACCGAUGGCGAAGGCAGCCCCCUGGGCCAAUACUGACGCUCAUGCACGAAAGCGUGGGGAGCA
RNAcentral lists this ribosomal RNA (666 nucleotides) under uncultured Burkholderia sp. RNAcentral describes it as "bacterial SSU rRNA". It matches the Rfam family "Bacterial small subunit ribosomal RNA", at positions 108 to 770 of the family's 1533-position model. The record is from RNAcentral. Lineage: Bacteria; Pseudomonadati; Pseudomonadota; Betaproteobacteria; Burkholderiales; Burkholderiaceae.